UUCCCCUCAGGUGAAGCGGCGUCGUGAGCAGCAGCAGAGUUCUCUGUAAGAAAGUGAGGAAAAGUCUGAUAAAAGCUGGAUUUAGGUGAUAAAACUGUAGUUUUAUAAAGCAGAGCCCUCGUUUACAUAAAGCGCUGAGCUGCUGGAGCUGCGGAGCAGAUUGUGGAGAGUGAGGAGCGAUAUCAUGAGAGGAAAAUCCCAAGAUCAACAAAGGCACAACCCUGUCGUAAGCUGGAAGCUGUUGGAACACCAGUAUUCACUGUCUACAGCCAAGUGGGUUUUGCAGCUGCCAUCCAAGGAAGAAGGGCCUGUUCCAAAAUUAAGACCUUCAAGCUUGUCUAACAUUUAGUGGACAGUAGAUAAAUCUGGAGCUGAAGGUGUUUGUUCGUCAGUAUACAUGUUGAAGGAUCAGGAACCUACAACUCUGCAACAAAUGGCAGGAGCUGCUGGUUUUGCAUCUCCAAAAACAACUUAAACUGCACGUCCAGGUUGUUUGGCAAAGCUUUUACGUUUUGUCAAAAACAAAAAACAAGCCUUGAGGCCUGUUCAAUUUUCAAUUGGCCUGUUCUGUGAGUAAGUAAAGAAUAUUUUUAGCACUUAAAGACAUUCUUCCUGUUUGGUCAUUUCUAAUAUCAUAAAUGCCCUCAUGCUAAAAAAACAAGCUCUGUAACUGUGGGUCUUACUUACACUGAGGCCUGGCACUACUUGUUUAAGGUUUGCCACUAAAGCAACAUACUGUACAUAUUGUUUCUUAAAGAUAUUGUGAAAGCACUAUAGCACUAAGCAUUUGAUGGGCAAUGUAGCUCGCAUGUAGGCCUUAGGACAGCAUUGGUGACUAACAUUUGUCUAUUCUGAACCUGAAGUAAGAAGAGUUUUGUCCUUCAUUUGUCUUUAGUUAAAUGUCAGAUUUUUGGCCUGUAGUUUCUCUGAAUGAAUAAAAAAAGGAAACAUACAGGGAGCAUAAUGUAAGGGAAAGUUUAAUUAAAGGUUUUCGGAAAACAGAGACUGCGACCUCAAGCCAUGCCACCAUUAUCCGCCUGCCUCCCUUUGGAUGAGCCAUGUAGCUACGGCAAUUUCCGGGAUGAAAAGAGGCACAUGGUGCAACCACCCGAGACAGCCGUGGAUGAAUAGCAGCAGGUUGGGAAUGGAGGACGAUGAUGGGACAGAGAUGGGAAAAGUAAGAUGAAUACCUCUCUCUACAGAAGAUGACAUGCUGGUUCAUGGGCCUAUUAGCCCCCGAGCUGCCUCCCAGCUGCCCCUGAGGGAGUUAGCAUGUGGCGGGGCUGCUCUGGGGGCGCUGGGUGGAAAGUCUCAAAGUCUCCUUUAUUUUUGUCUCCUAUAUCAUUGUUUAAGUCAAUGAUGAUGUACUGUAGCUUAUGAGAAUGUUCUGUUUGUGGGAUGGGGAGUUACUCGUUGUGGUGCUGGACUAAAGCUUGGGCUGAAAGACAAAUGGGGCUAGUACGGCAGUGUUUACAAAUCAUUCUACUUAUAGACUUUACCACUUUUAAUUUUGAAAUUAAAAAUGCAGAAUAUUUGAAACGACAGCUAAUGUGUGAGAAAUGGGGUUUGAGAAAACAUCAAAUACAUGAGUUUAAGUUG
Molecule: long non-coding RNA, 1599 nt
Organism: Astyanax mexicanus (Mexican tetra)
Lineage: Eukaryota; Metazoa; Chordata; Actinopteri; Characiformes; Acestrorhamphidae
Exons: 3
Source: RefSeq, a predicted model, not a curated record